This 289-nucleotide unclassified non-coding RNA is filed under the name plant metagenome. RNAcentral describes it as "partial contains small subunit ribosomal RNA, internal transcribed spacer 1, and 5.8S ribosomal RNA". The record is from RNAcentral.
UUUCCGUAGGUGAACCUGCGGAAGGAUCAUUGAAUCGAUCAGCAUCCACACCGGUGACCAUACCACGUACCCCCCAGUCGGGACUCGAAAGAGGCUCGGCUGGGCGCCCGAUGGCAUUUGCGUGCUGUCGGGCGGGUCGAAACCCUCUUUUGGCUUUCGGCCGGCCCUGUCCAACCCCAACCCACCCCAAACACAAAACACUCUGAAGCCAAAACCGUGGGCGCCCACGCGGCGUUUCCCACGUACCACAAACAAAAGACAACUCUCAACAACGGAUAUCUUGGCUCCC